ACUCAAAGGAAUAGACGGGGACCCGCACAAGCGGUGGAACAUGUGGUUUAAUUCGAUGCUACGCGAAGAACCUCACCUAGGCUUGACAUGCUCCUCAUAUCCCUAUGAAAGUAGGGAGUCGGUUCGGCCGGAGGAUGCACAGGUGCUGCAUGGCUGUCGUCAGCUCGUGUCGUGAGAUGUUGGGUUAAGUCCCGCAACGAGCGCAACCAUUGCCCCAUGUUGCUAUCAUUUUUUUCCUUACGGUUGAAAGUGAGCACUCUUGGGGGACUGCCUGGGAUAACCAGGAGGAAGGUGGAGAUGACGUCAAGUCAGUACGGCCCUUAUGCCUAGGGCUACACACGUGUUACAAUGGCAGGUACAGAGGGUUGCCAACCCGCGAGGGGGAGCUAAUCUCAAAAACCCUGCCUCAGUUCGGAUAGGAGUCUGCAAUCCGACUCCUUGAAGCCGGAAUCGCUAGUAAUGGGAGAUCAGAACGCUCCCGUGAAUACGUUCCCGGGUCUUGUACACACCGCCCGU
RNAcentral lists this ribosomal RNA (516 nucleotides) under uncultured bacterium. RNAcentral describes it as "partial 16S ribosomal RNA". It matches the Rfam family "Bacterial small subunit ribosomal RNA", at positions 899 to 1397 of the family's 1533-position model. The record is from RNAcentral.